GAUGAAGAACGCAGCGAAGUGCGAUAAGUAAUGUGAAUUGCAGAAUUCCGUGAAUCAUCGAAUUUUUGAACGCAAAUUGCACUCUCUGGUAUUCCGGAGAGUAUGCCUGUUUGAGGGUCAGUCAAAUAAAAAUCGAUGUCGUUGUCAUCAUGAUUACGCGUCGGAAUUGAGUCGUCUUACCUUCGGUUAAGUGACUUAAAAUUUUUACGCGAAUUCGAAACGUAUUUAAUGUUUAUGUACGUUUGCGAUAUUCCAAUAUAUUAGGUGCGGUCAUUCCUAUGAUUCGCGUCUAUAAUUUUUCAUUUCUUGACCUCAAAUCAGGUAAGAGUACCCGCUGAACUUAAGCAUAUCAAUAAGCGGAGGA
RNAcentral lists this unclassified non-coding RNA (364 nucleotides) under soil metagenome. RNAcentral's name for it is "partial contains 5.8S ribosomal RNA, internal transcribed spacer 2, and large subunit ribosomal RNA". The stretch from base 1 to 120 matches the Rfam family "5.8S ribosomal RNA", at positions 35 to 154 of the family's 154-position model. The record is from RNAcentral.